GAUCAUGGCUCAGGAUGAACGCUAGCUACAGGCUUAACACAUGCAAGUCGGAGGGGAAACGACAUCGAAAGCUUGCUUUUGAUGGGCGUCGACCGGCGCACGGGUGAGUAACGCGUAUCCAACCUGCCCAUCACUUGGGAAUAACCUUGCGAAAGUAAGACUAAUGCCCAAUGAUAUCCCACGAAGGCAUCCGAAUGGGAUUAAAAGAUUUAUCGGUGAUGGAUGGGAUGCGU
RNAcentral lists this ribosomal RNA (233 nucleotides) under uncultured bacterium. RNAcentral describes it as "partial 16S ribosomal RNA". It matches the Rfam family "Bacterial small subunit ribosomal RNA", at positions 15 to 236 of the family's 1533-position model. The record is from RNAcentral.